UAACUAAAUAAAAUACAAAAUGAGGAAGAUAAAAAGAAAUUGGGAGUAAAAAAAAAAUGGGAAGAACCUUCCCCAAAAUAUUUUCCCCCCAAAUCAUUUCUCCCCACCUAGACCUUUCCCCAAAAAUAUUUCCCCACCUAAAACUUUCCCCCCAAAAUAUUACCUCACAUAACACCUUCUCCCCAAAUAAAACUCCCCACACAAGACCCCCCCGGGGGAGAUAAAAAAAAAAUCAUCAGACCCUCCCCUGAGAUUAGACUCUAGCGGCGUACCUCUCUGCCUGGGGGAUAAAAAAGAACGAACACCAUCCCCCUUUCCUCUGGAUUUCCUCCUCUUCUUAUCUCCCUAACACACACAAGAGAAGCCGAGAAACAGAUCAUCUCUUUGAACACAAAUGGUUGAAACAAAGCCGAGAGAAUUCAAAAAAUGAAACUCUGAAAAAUCAUCGAAAAAAGAAGACGAAAAGAAAACGAAAAAUUGGACUUUCAAAUUAGAUUUGGAGAAGUAAUUGAUUGCUGAAUUUUCAAAGUCUAAAUUCCUCUUCCAUGGAUCUAUAAAAGGCUGUUGAAGUCCGCAUCCGUUGUUGUUUGUUACUCAUUUGUUGCCGCUCUGUACCGGAGACUGUUCCUAUUGUUUUGUUUAAGAGUUUGCUUCGAAGCGACAAUCCACAAAUGACGUGGCUACAAAUUUACUGUUGAAUGGAUGCAACCUGCUGGUGUCAUCAAGAAUCGAUCAUGCUUGUUUAGCCUUGUCAAGACUCCAUGGAUAAUGACCGGUAUCAUCUGAUUCGCGUUGGGGCAGAAAUGGAUAUUGAGAGAAUAAAUACUUUGGUCUACCACAUCUGAAUAUGAUGGUGCUUUGGAGGCUAAAAUUGACACUAUAUGGAACUAGGCUUGUAGAAGGAGAAACUACUAUUGUUGGAUUCGAAUGCUAUAUUUUUUCUUUGUGUUGAUACUCUAAAUUUAUGUAUUAGCAUUUGUUUUUGUAUAUUAUAGAUUUAAUAAAAUAUUAUUAUAAUUUCUUGAA
This is a long non-coding RNA of Nicotiana tabacum (common tobacco), 1026 nucleotides long. RefSeq lists it as uncharacterized. Lineage: Eukaryota; Viridiplantae; Streptophyta; Magnoliopsida; Solanales; Solanaceae. The record is from RefSeq and is a predicted model, not a curated record.